CAGCCGCCGCGGGAAUACGGAGGGUGCAAGCGUUAUCCGGAUUUAUUGGGUUUAAAGGGUCCGUAGGCGGAUCUGUAAGUCAGUGGUGAAAUCUCACAGCUUAACUGUGAAACUGCCAUUGAUACUGCUGGUCUUGAGUAAAUUUGAAGUGGCUGGAAUAAGUAGUGUAGCGGUGAAAUGCAUAGAUAUUACUUAGAACACCAAUUGCGAAGGCAGGUCACUAAGAUUUAACUGACGCUGAUGGACGAAAGCGUGGGGAGCGAACAGGAUUAGAUACCCCUGUAGUCCCUGUCUCUUUACA
RNAcentral lists this ribosomal RNA (301 nucleotides) under uncultured bacterium. RNAcentral describes it as "partial 16S ribosomal RNA". It matches the Rfam family "Bacterial small subunit ribosomal RNA", at positions 509 to 808 of the family's 1533-position model. The record is from RNAcentral.